Harmonia axyridis is the source of this 911-nucleotide long non-coding RNA. RefSeq lists it as uncharacterized. The record is from RefSeq and is a predicted model, not a curated record. The transcript is spliced from 2 exons. Lineage: Eukaryota; Metazoa; Arthropoda; Insecta; Coleoptera; Coccinellidae.
GAGAACUGGCAAUUUCAGCGUGGUAUGGCCGUAAACGUAAAGGUAGCAUUCCGAUCUCGGCAGUCGCGACCCAGCAGUCGCUGCACGGCAGCCGCAGCCGUGGUCGCGGCAUACCGCUCGUAGGGAUUUACGUGCAACGCUUUCCGAUACAAGCGACUCAGCAGCGCGGCUGGGGGGCGUGUCCUGCACGCGACCACGGCAGCACCGCCGAGCCGCUUCGAGAGCAGUACCUAUAGCAGCGCUGCCCGCUCUUUACAAUAGUAAACAUGGCUUUGUUUACAGAUGAAAAUGACGAGGUUUUAAUCGAAUUAAUAUCUUAAAAUCCGCCGCUUUUCGAUUCCAAACUCGCAGCCUAUAAGGACAAUAUUGUUCGUGAGAAUAUAUGGGAGCAUAUUGCUACUAAACUCAAUAAAACAAACGAUGACUGCAGAAAACGAUGAAAAUGCAUCAGAGAUUCCUAUCAAAGAAUCAAGCGCAAAAAUAAACUACCGACUGGAUCAGCAGCCGGCAGCAAACCAAAAAAAUGGCCUUUGAUUGAAAGACUCAGUUUUUUGGAAAAAGUUCCUACAGAAAGAAGCACUAUAUCAAAUAUUGAGUUAGCUAACGAUGCCAAUGAUACUGAAAGUGAAGUACCACAUGAUGUUGAAAACGGUUUCAAUAGAGAAAAAGAAGGUUUUGUGGAACCUGGUGAUGAAAUCGAAAUGAACAGCGGAGGUGCAAGUGAAGCAGUAAUGGUCAGUGCAUCGACUAGUGCAAUAGAGCAAAACAUUUCAGAAACGGCUGAUAUGAAACAAAACAAAAAGAGUGGAAAAUCUAGUCGGUGUGAAUUCAAAAAAAAAAAAAGGAAAGUCAAAAUAGUUCUUUGCAGAUGGCUCUACUGCAAUACUGGAAAGAGAGAGACGCUGAAAGGA